CGAAGGAUGCAAGCGUUAUCCGGAUUCAUUGGGUUUAAAGGGAGCGUAGGCGGCCUUAUAAGUCAGUGGUGAAAUCUUUGGGCUUAACCCAAAAAUUGCCAUUGAUACUGUAGGGCUUGAGUACAGUUGCUGUGGGCGGAAUAUGACAUGUAGUGGUGAAAUACAUAGAGAUGUCAUAGAACACCGAUUGCGAAGGCAGCUCACAAAACUGUAACCGACGCUGAGGCUCGAAAGUGCGGGGAUCAAACAGGAUUAGAUACCCUGGUAGUCCGCACUGUAAACGAUGAUUACUCGCUGCUGGAAGGUAACUUUCAGUGGCUUAGCGAAAGCGAUAAGUAAUCCACCUGGGGAGUACGCCGGCAACGGUG
Molecule: ribosomal RNA, 368 nt
Filed under: uncultured organism
Description: bacterial SSU rRNA
Rfam family: Bacterial small subunit ribosomal RNA
Source: RNAcentral